CAGUCGCCGCGGUAAUACGGAGGGUGCAAGCGUUAAUCGGAAUUACUGGGCGUAAAGCGCACGCAGGCGGUCUGACAAGUCAGAUGUGAAAUCCCCGGGCUUAACCUGGGAACUGCAUUUGAAACUGUCAGGCUGGAGUCUUGUAGAGGGGGGUGGAAUUCCAGGUGUAGCGGUGAAAUGCGUAGAGAUCUGGAGGAAUACCGGUGGCGAAGGCGGCCCCCUGGACAAAGACUGACGCUCAGGUGCGAAAGCGUGGGGAGCAAACAGGAUUAGAUACCGCGUAGUCCCUGUCUCUUAUACC
Molecule: ribosomal RNA, 301 nt
Filed under: uncultured bacterium
Lineage: Bacteria
Description: partial 16S ribosomal RNA
Rfam family: Bacterial small subunit ribosomal RNA
Source: RNAcentral